RNA transcript from Aethalodelphis obliquidens (Pacific white-sided dolphin), 3646 nucleotides. It is a transcript of the gene named smoothelin, with no coding region annotated. Lineage: Eukaryota; Metazoa; Chordata; Mammalia; Artiodactyla; Delphinidae. The record is from RefSeq and is a predicted model, not a curated record. The transcript has 21 exons.
AAUCCCGGGGACGGUUGCUGAGCGGGCUUGGCAUCCCGGUCGCGGCGCCUUCCGCCUGACCGCUCCUAAUCCAUCUGUUGGAUCCCGAACGACCUAAGCUGAGCCCGUGCCGGGCGGGCGGGCCGGACUAAGAGAAUUCCCUGAGCUGGUGUCAGCUGCCAAAGGCACUGGGGAACUCACCAGGAGGCGACGGAUGGAGCUAGGGGCCAGCAAGAUGGCGGACGAAACAUUAGCUGGGCUGGAUGAGGGAGCCUUGCGGAAGCUGCUGGAGGUCACAGCAGAUCUAGCAGAGCGGCGGCGCAUCCGCUCAGCCAUCCGGGAGCUGCAGCGGCAGGAGCUGGAGCGCGAGGAGGAGGCCCUGGCAUCCAAGCGCUUCCGUGCCGAGCGGCAGGACAACAAGGAGAACUGGCUGCACUCUCAGCAGCGGAAGGCUGAGCAGCAGGCUGCUCUGGCACGGCUGGCAGGACGGCUGGAGUCCAUGAGUGAUGUGGAGGAGCUGACCACACUGCUGCGAGGCGCUGCUGAGUACGAGGAACGCAAGCUGAUCCGAGCCGCCAUCCGCCGUGUACGGGCCCAGGAGAUUGAGGCCGCCACAUUGGCUGGAAGGUUGUGCAGCGGGCGUCCCAGCAGUGGCUCAAGAGAGGACAGCAAGGGGCGGGCAGCACACAGGCUGGACCGGUGUGAGGUGCCAAAGCCAGAGGAACAGGAGCAGCAGGCAGAGGUCCCAGAGCCAACUCCAACCCCCAAUGGCACCAGCCAUGACGUGACGACAGUGACACUACUGCUUCGGGCCCCACCUGGGGGCACACCCAGCUCACCUGCCUCAGCCGGCAGUUCACCCACCACUACCUCUCCUGAGCCUCCACUGGAGCCUGCCGAGGCCCCACGCCCUGCCACUGAGGCUCUGGGUGGCCCCAAGCCACCUCCCAGCCCGCCCAGGGCUGCCAGCCCUGAGCCCCAGGAACCUCCAGCCACCCCCAGCACGGAGGGGCAGGUGGUCAACAAGCUCCUGCCUGGCCCCACAGAGCCCCCUGCUGCUGAUGGCCCUACCAAAGGUCCCUCCGACACAAAGAGAGCAGACCUGGCUGGCCCUCGCCCCUGCCAACGCUCCCUGUCUGUGCUGAGCCCCCGCCAGCCAGUCCAGAACCGAGAGCCCACCCCCCUUGCCAGCGGACCUUCCCUGUUCCAGCGGGCUGGCUCCGUACGGGACCGUGUGCGCAAGUUCACAUCCGAUUCGCCUAUGGCUGCUGGGCUCCAGGAAGGCCCACUCCGGGCAGCCCUAGGUCCCUCGACCCCUGCAAGGCUCCCAGGCUCCUCCCACAUCAGCACCACCCCUGCCUCCUCCUCCAGGGGCCCCUCCUCACGGGGCCCCAGUGACACCUCCUCCCAGUUCAACAAGGAUCAGCGAGGAACAGCCCGGCCCCUGGCCCAACUUCAGAGCUGCCCCAGGGAGGAGGGCCCCAGGGGGCGGGGCUUGGCUGUCAGGUCCCUUGAAAACAGAGCAGGGGGGCCCAUGGCCCGCUCAGAGGCGCCCAGUGCCCCGCUAGCCGUGGCCGUGGGCACUGCUGAGCCAGGGGCCAGUAUGAAGACCACAUUCACCAUCGAGAUCAAGGAUGGCCGGGGCCAGGCCUCCACGGGCCGGGUGCUGCUGCCCACAGGCAACCAGAGGGCAGAACUGAUGCUGGGGCUGCAGGCGCCCCCCACCCUCCUUAGCACCAGCAGUGGGGGCAAGAGCACCAUCACGCAUAUCAGCAGCCCUGGGAACCUGGCUCGGCUGGGCAGUGUCACUCACGUCACCAGCUUCAGCCAUGCCUCCCCUGGUAGCCGAGGAGGCUGCAGCAUUAAGAUGGAGCCAGAACCAGCAGAGCCCCCCUCUGCAGCAGUGGAGGUGGCCAAUGGCGCCGAGCAGACCCGCGUGGACAAAGCACCAGAGAGGCGGAGCCCUCUGAGCACCGAGGAGCUGAUGACCAUUGAGGAUGAGAGUGUCCUGGACAAGAUGCUGGAUCAAACUACGGACUUUGAGGAGCGGAAGCUCAUCCGGGCUGCGCUACGUGAGCUCCGACAAAGGAAGAGAGACCAGCGGGACAAGGAACGGGAACGGCGGCUGCAAGAGACACGGGCCCGCCCAGGGGAGGGCCGUGGCAACACGGCCACCAAGACCACCACGCGACACAGCCAACAGACAGCCGAUGGCUCAGCUGUCAGCACUGUCACCAAGACCGAGCGGCUCGUCCACUCCAAUGAUGGCAGACGGACGGCCCGCACCACCACGGUGGAGUCGAGUUUUGUGAGGCGCUCAGAGAGUAAGGCCGCCUGGCGUCUUCUCAUGCCUGCCUGCCAGCCCACCUUCCUCAAACUCUCUCCGAACUUCCAUCUGUGUGUCUCUCUGUCCAGCCGUCACUUUCUCUUCUCUGCCUGUGGCUACCUCCAUCCCUCUACCAACCUCCCGCCCCAUCUCCCACAUCCAGCCCAGGACCUCACCCUGCUCCCCUUCCCCUUUCUUGCAGAUGGUGGUGGCAGCACCAUGAUGCAAACUAAGACCUUUUCCUCUUCAUCAUCCAAGAAGAUGGGCAGUAUCUUCGACCGAGAGGAUGAAGCCAGCCCGCGGCCCGGCAGCCUAGCGGCGCUGGAGAAACUCCAGGCAGAGAAGAAGAAAGAGCUGAUGAAGGCGCAGAGCCUGCCCAAGACCUCGGCCUCCCAGGCGCGUAAGGCCAUGAUUGAGAAGCUGGAGAAGGAAGGCACCGCUUGCAGCUCUGGCGGACCCCGCGCAGCUGUGCAGCGCUCCACCAGCUUCGGUGUCCCCAAUGCCAACAGCAUCAAGCAGAUGUUGCUGGACUGGUGCCGAGCCAAGACACGUGGCUACGAGCAUGUGGACAUCCAGAACUUCUCCUCGAGUUGGAGUGACGGGAUGGCCUUCUGUGCCCUGGUGCACAACUUCUUCCCUGAAGCCUUCGAUUAUGGGCAGCUCAGCCCACAGAACCGGCGGCAGAACUUCGAGGUGGCCUUCUCAUCCGCUGAGACCCAUGCGGACUGCCCGCAGCUCCUGGACACAGAGGACAUGGUGCGGCUUCGAGAGCCUGACUGGAAGUGCGUGUACACGUACAUCCAGGAGUUCUACCGCUGUCUGGUCCAGAAGGGGCUGGUAAAAACCAAAAAGUCCUAACCCCUGCUGGGGUCCCACGGGAGAAGAAAAGACGAAGGCCCAGAGGGAGAAAGGGGAUUGCCUAAAGUAAUGUGAAUCAGGGACAGAGCUAGCAGUGCACUCAGAUGCCCCUUGGGGCCUGGAGCCAUUGUGGGGGGCAGCCCACACGUGCACACAUAUACUCAGAGAAGCUGUGCAGGAUGCUGGUGGACUGCGUACCCCUCGUGGAGGUGGAGGACAUGAUGAUCAUGGGCAAGAAGCCCGACCCCAAGUGCGUUUUCACCUACGUGCAGUCGCUCUACAACCACCUGCGGCGCCACGAGCUGCGCCUGCGCGGCAAGAAUGUCUAGCUUCCCCACCGCCCGCAAGGCCGCAGCGGCAAGCUGCCCCCACCAUCCAGGCACCGUCCCCUCCCUGUGCGCCUGCCCACCGCUGCCCUGUCUGUCGCGACACCUUUCCACGCAUACACACACAGCGUUUUGAUAAAUUAUUGGUUUUCAACGA